Molecule: unclassified non-coding RNA, 1981 nt
Filed under: Diabrotica virgifera virgifera (western corn rootworm)
Lineage: Eukaryota; Metazoa; Arthropoda; Insecta; Coleoptera; Chrysomelidae
Description: medium-chain acyl-CoA ligase ACSF2, mitochondrial- like
Source: RNAcentral
GAUACGGUACUGUAAAUAGAAAUAGAGAUACGUUUAUUAUGGUCGCAGUAAAACUGAUCUGAACUUGACAACAUGUUUAAAAUCUACUACACUAGGAGUUUUGCAAGAGGCUUCAACAAAAUAAUUUCGAGUCAGCCAAAUCCACCAUCACAAUGAGAAGAUCUCUUUGUACAACAGUUAAAUUAACAAAAAAUGUGCAUGUGCGUAAAAAAGGCAACCAUCAAGAAAUUCGAAAGUUAAGUACCAAACCCAGUUACUACCACUGCGUUGGAGAAGAUCCUCUUAGUCACUUAACAUUGGGACAACUUUCAGAAAAGUGCAGUUACUCUUUCGGUGAUAGAACAGCUGUAGUAUCAUGUCAUCAAAAGAAAAAGCUGACAUUUCGUAGCCUUCUCGAAGAAGCUGAUAGACUAGCAGCUGGUUUCUUAAAAUUAGGAUUUCAAAAAGAAGAUCGGAUAGGCAUAUGGGCUCCAAAUCUGGUAGAAUGGUACAUAGCUUUUAUAGCAUGUGCCAGAGGAGGUUUUGUGAUGGUCUCAAUGAAUCCAUUUUACCAAGCCAACGAAGCAGAGAAUUUGAUUAAACAGGUAAAGAUAAAAGGCCUUAUAUGUGGUGAUGUGUUCCGAAAACAAGAUUACUAUCACCUAUUGAAAUCAAUUUGUCCGGAAUUAGAGGACAGCAAACCAGGCAAAAUAUAUAGUGAUAGAGUUCCAAGUUUGCGAACUGUUGUACAUAUAACUGAGGAAAACAAAAAGGGAACAUUUAAAUUUACUGAUAUACAAAAUAUGGCCGAUGAAGAUACUAUGUUACAAAUUAAAAAUUUCCAAAAUAAAAUAAAAUUUGAUGAUCCUUGCAACAUUCAAUUUACAUCGGGCACCACAGGAAUGCCAAAAGCCCCCGUACAGAGUCACUUCAAUAUUGUUAAUAACGGAUAUUUUUCUGGUAAACGGGUAGGGUUGCAUCAAAAACACCAUACAAUCUGCUUGCAAAAUCCAUUAUUUCACGUAUUUGGGACUAUAGCUACACUUACUGCAGCUGUUAACCAUGGUGCUACAAUCGUUCUACCCAACGACACUUACAAUCCAGAGAAAAACUUGAGUGCUAUUGUACAAGAAGGGUGUACUGUGAUAUAUGGAACACCCACGAUGUACGUUGAUUUAGUGUCUCAACAAAGGAAACGUAAUGAAAAUAUGAAAGCAGAAAUAGCGCUAUGUGGAGGAGCAUUGUGCCCUCCAGUAUUGUUCAAAGACAUGCUUGAUAUCCUUAAAGUAAAAGCCGUAAAAUCUAUAUAUGGACUCACUGAAACAACAGCUUCCGUAUUUUUUUCGAUGGAUAACGAAAACGAAUACUAUAGCACUCAGACUGUAGGAAAAGUUCACGAUCAUUUAGAGGUCAAAGUAGUAGACUCGGAAGGCUAUCUUGUACCAAUGGGUUCUCCUGGUGAGCUGCUUGUGCGCGGAUACACUACUAUGGUGGGAUAUUUUGAGAAUGAGGAAAAAACGAAGGAAGUUAUUGAUAAAAAUGGAUGGUUUAAGACGGGUGAUCAAUUUAUAUUAACUGAGGAUGGAUAUGGAAAAGUAGUGGGAAGAAUAAAAGAUUUGAUAAUACGAGGAGGCGAGAAUAUUUAUCCAAAAGAAAUAGAAGAGUUUUUAAUCACCUAUCCCGAUAUCAUUGAAGUUCAGGGUUUGUUCAUUACGGAGACCAUCGCAUCGUAUCCUAGCCUAGAGCUUAGUAUCCUACUCUUCAUUUUGGUGAACGCUCGCAUUUAAAAUAAUGCAUCUGGCGAUCGAUAAUGGUACGAGCAGUACGAGGGAUACCAGGGAGCGAGGGUCGGCGCCUUGUUGUGAGCACAACUUUAGCUAUACAAAGUAGUUGGAGUACCUCACGAAAGGUUAGGCGAAGAAGUAUGUGCAGCGGUUAAGACAAAAAGCGGUAAUGAAAUAACAAUUGAACAACUUUACGAAUUCUGUAAAGGAAAACUGUC